UUUCUCUUUCCCUGAGAUGAUCUCAGUCUCAAAUGUUGCAGUCCCAGCUUCAGAAUUAUUACCAAACAAAUGCUCCCUCUGCCUUCGCCCGGAACCAAGAACCGCGUCUUACCUCACGCAAGGUGGCAGGGAGCGCUACCUCAACACCGUCAAUAGUGAUACCUCUUUGUUUCCUUGCUUCAUGCUCUAGGGUAGAAGCUCAGACCUGAAGCAACCAGACCAGAUGCUGUCCACUGAAUUUGGAGACCCUGUGCAUUCAGGGGAGCUGGACGUCACAAUAUAGUAUAUUAUGGGCCACUCUACCAGCUAAAACUACCAAUCUUUUUCUUGUCUUUUACCUGGGUCUGAAAAUUAUUUCCUCUUUGGUCUGGUUUCUUUACCUGCCUGUCUGGAGAUCGUCAUCUAGGAAAUCCUGCUAAACCACUUUGAAGAUGCCAAAGUAUAGUACAACAACCAUUGAUGAUUUCCUACCACUUUUGGCUGUAUCUCACUAUUAUUUGUCUAUUUGUUUUCCUGAGAAACUAUCUUGAAGAUACCAACAGAAUUUUUGCCGCACUUCGAUGGAGCAAGCUUUCUGUCAGCUAUUCAGUCAUUCUAGACUGUGUUUUCAUCACCAUUUGCAGCCAGUUUGGAAGUUGCUGCCCUCUGCAUCUGUGGUUUAAAUUCAAUUUAGAUUCAAACAAGUUAAUGAGUAAAUGGUGCAUAUUGCCAUAGUUUUGGAGUGCAAGAUUUCUUACUGAAUUACUUCAUAAGUAUAUAUGUUCGUAUCAGAGAUUUCUUCUCCAUUAAAAUUAACCUAGA
This 801-nucleotide long non-coding RNA is filed under the name Chinchilla lanigera (long-tailed chinchilla). RNAcentral describes it as "lncRNA (ENSCLAG00000023116.1)". Lineage: Eukaryota; Metazoa; Chordata; Mammalia; Rodentia; Chinchillidae. The record is from RNAcentral.